GUUCUUCAAUAUCUUCAACUAUUUCUACUAUGUUUUCAACUAUCACCAUUGCAUUUCAAUAUUUUCAAGCUUUUUUAUUUCCACCAUUAGCUACUAAUAGAAAUAAUUAUCUAUUAUGGGCAAAAAUGGCAAAAAUAAAUUUAUUUGCAAAAUAACUCUCAGAUGCAAUUCUAUUUGAAAAAUCUCCUACUAUAAGUAAUUCAAUUUUUCUUGCUAUUCUUUGGAAAAUACUUCUUUUCCUUCAUCAUCAUUUUAUACUUGCAUUGCAACAUCAAUAUUUAAAAAUAAAAGAUUUAGCCAAGCUUUGGAAGAAUCUUAAAUCUACCUUUGAUCAUCAAAAGACUAUUUUCCUUCUAUGUGCAUGUCAUAAUUCGACUUAUUUAUGUGUUUUAGAUUUUUUAAAUUUAAAUGCUUUUAACAGUGAAAUGUAUCAUAU
RNAcentral lists this long non-coding RNA (436 nucleotides) under Physcomitrium patens. RNAcentral describes it as "long non-coding RNA (PPAT_LNC014685)". The record is from RNAcentral. Lineage: Eukaryota; Viridiplantae; Streptophyta; Bryopsida; Funariales; Funariaceae.